Molecule: non-coding RNA, 45 nt
Organism: Glossina morsitans morsitans
Lineage: Eukaryota; Metazoa; Arthropoda; Insecta; Diptera; Glossinidae
Source: Rfam
CAAUAGGUCCUUUUCAGGACCACGAAUAUAAUAAAAAGGAGAUAU